This is a non-coding RNA of Coturnix japonica (Japanese quail), 834 nucleotides long. Lineage: Eukaryota; Metazoa; Chordata; Aves; Galliformes; Phasianidae. The record is from RefSeq and is a predicted model, not a curated record.
GGUUGGAGCUUGACUCCACCUCUCCCAGAUCUCAUUUAAGGGCUGGCUACCACUAAGGCAGGAUUUCUUUCUCUGGAGAUCACUCUUUUGUGGAGUUUGUGGUAAACCUUCAACACUGUGGAACUUCCAGGUCACAUCCUGCACAAAUGGUUGAGCACCAGGUGAGAAGGCAUGGCUAACUGAGGGAGCUCAGAUGCAAGCAAUGUACCUGAGUGACCAGAAGGGCUGGAUUGAGGAUCCACUGAUCCACACCUCCUCAUCCUCAUUCAAGGGUUAGCAGCUGAGGGAUUAGCCUUUCUUUGGACUGAGAUUACACUUCUCUCAAGUUAUCACUGGUUAUUGGAAGGGUAAAGUAUAUAAUCCAAAGGGGCUGAGUUUUACCUCUGCCUAAAUUGACAAUGGUAUCUAGGAAGACUGAAAACAAAAGAUCUAGUGCCUGAUCCUGGAGCCUGGAUCCACCCCUCCUUACUCUUGUUUAAGGGUUGGAAGCAGAAGGAACGCCAUCUCUGAACAGAGAUCCCAGUUCUCUUAUUAAGCUGUCACUGGUUGUUGGAAGGGAAUCAUCACCUGAGGGAAUAUCUCAGGAAUGGAAUGACCACAUUUGGCAGCAAUAAUAAUAACCUGAAACAAUGCAUGUCAAAGACUCUGUACCCUGGCAGCAUGCAUGGGGUGAAGCAGCAUUAAUGACUGGGUGCUCCAGUGACUGCACAUAGUCAUGCAAAGGCAAGAGAUACUGUUAUGUGGAAUGAACACUUAUGAAGAGUGUUAUAUUGAGGAAAAGUUUCUAUAUGGGUAAGUUGAGUCUGGAAGUUUUUAACAAAUGUGUUUUCAGUG